UGACUGCAGCAGCAGCAGUGGGAUGUCAUCCGCAACGUUGGACGACAGUUGAGCGGCUCAAGAUUUUACGAUGUGUCCAAUGACAAAUGACUGGCUUGUUGCGUUUCGGGAAAGAUUCGUCUGUCGGUUUGAUUUUGGCAUCGGUUCUGCCUGGGAGAAGGAAGAGAAUGCGAUGUUCGAUGUGAUGGAAAUGAAAUAAAUAUUUAAUGACAGGGCAAAUAGGGUGCCAAUGAAAAUCUCCAGCUUUACAAAAUGCGUGUUGUUUCGAGAAAAAAAAACAGUGAUUACACAAAAAUAUACUGUAACCUGAAAGCAUUCAAUUCAUUGGAAUCUCAGCACGUAACAGUCAUUGUCCAAACGAACCGGCAGAGAUUCGCCAACCAUCGUUCUCUUUUAUCCUUUCCAGGAUAAAUUGUCCGAGCUGGCCGUUCCGGUCCGAUCCCAAGUGUGCAAUGGUGGUAAGAGAAGUUCGGAAAAAUUCAUAAAGGUCUAACCGGCAAAAAGAUUGAAAUUACAGGGCUAAGACCUCUGAGGAUUGAGUCUAGCUUUGCUCUAUUGCUGCAUUAUGUAGCAUUUAUGUAAAUAUUUUCAACCGGUUGUGUAUUACUGGCUUGGA
Long non-coding RNA from Topomyia yanbarensis, 616 nucleotides. RefSeq lists it as uncharacterized. The record is from RefSeq and is a predicted model, not a curated record. NCBI's taxonomy places the organism in Eukaryota, Metazoa, Arthropoda, Insecta, Diptera, Culicidae. The transcript is spliced from 3 exons.